This 253-nucleotide ribosomal RNA is filed under the name uncultured bacterium. RNAcentral describes it as "partial 16S ribosomal RNA". It matches the Rfam family "Bacterial small subunit ribosomal RNA", at positions 524 to 776 of the family's 1533-position model. The record is from RNAcentral.
UACAGAGGUCCCGAGCGUUGUUCGGAUUCCCUGGGCGUAAAGGGUGCGCAGGUGGGUUUGCAAGUUUGAUGUGAAAGCCCCGGGCUUAACCCGGGAAUGGCAUUGAAUACUGCAGAUCUGGAGGAUUGGAGGGGGGACUGGAAUUCUUGGUGUAGCAGUGAAAUGCGUAGAUAUGCGGAGGAACACCGAUGGCGAAGGCAAUCCCCUGGGCCUGCACUGACGCUCAUGCACGAAAGCGUGGGGAGCAAACAGG